This 263-nucleotide ribosomal RNA is filed under the name uncultured bacterium. RNAcentral's name for it is "partial 16S ribosomal RNA". It matches the Rfam family "Bacterial small subunit ribosomal RNA", at positions 524 to 786 of the family's 1533-position model. The record is from RNAcentral.
UACGUAGGUGGCAAGCGUUGUCCGGAAUUAUUGGGCGUAAAGAGCGCGUAGGUGGCUUGUCAGGUCCGAUGUGAAAUUUUGGGGCUCAACCCCGAACCUGCAUCGGAAACCGGCUUGCUAGAGUCUGGGAGAGGAGAGUGGAAUUCCUGGUGUAGCGGUGAAAUGCGUAGAUAUCAGGAGGAACACCGGUAGCGAAGGCGGCUCUCUGGAACAGUACUGACACUGAGGCGCGAAAGCUAGGGGAGCGAACAGGAUUAGAUACC